Molecule: long non-coding RNA, 476 nt
Organism: Micropterus salmoides (largemouth bass)
Lineage: Eukaryota; Metazoa; Chordata; Actinopteri; Centrarchiformes; Centrarchidae
Exons: 3
Source: RefSeq, a predicted model, not a curated record
AUUUGUUAUUUCCAAAGCUAAUAUCAAUGUGUGGCUGUUGUUCUGUUUUGUAGAAAGCACAGAUGUCUUGUUUCAUGUAAAACCUCAAACCAACCUGAGUGUGUUUUCUCUUUAGUUCUGACCUCACUGCUGAGCUGCACAACAAACCAAGCCUCUCUGACUGUGAGUCCCAGCAGCUCUCAGCUGUUUGAAGGACAGUUUGUCUCUCUGAGCUGUGAGGAGGACGACAGCUCUGCUGGAUGGACGCUGAGGAGGAACACAACCAGAGGAACCAGGACUCAGUGUGACGACUGGGGAGGAGAACCAGCUGGUUCUUCCUGUGACAUCAGCUACAUCGCUGCAUGGGACAGUGGAGUUUACUGGUGUGAGUCCAGAGAGGGAGCAACCAGUAACACCAUCAACAUCACUGUCACUGGUGGACCAGUGAUCCUGCAGAGUCCUGUCCUCCCUGUGAUGGAGGGACAUGAUGUCACUCU